UUGGUGGGUCUUCACUUCCAAAGUUACACCUGCUCCACCACUCUCGAACUGUCAUGGCUGUGUUUUGGCUCCCUCUAAAAACGAGCAAGACUACUUGAUUUCAGCUGCAAGUGAUCUUCUUAGAUUUCAUGUCAGUGAUGUUAUCACUUGUGUGGGGCUGUUAGAAACGAAUGAGGAGGAAGGACAGAGCAUCUCAAGCACAGAAGACCCUCCCAGAUGCUAAUGUGUCUAUUUCCAUUGGAUCACCAUUUGCUGUGGUUUUAAUGGCCACUCCAAAAUUCAGGUCUGCUUACAAAUCAUUGGAAUUCAAAACACAGGACAUGUGCUUUAAUAAUGGCCCAAAGAUCGGCAAGAGGACAGAUGAGGAGCAGACACGGAAAAGGAUCCCUGAAGUGAUGACUCCACUCAGACCAGCCGACAAGUCUUGUGGCCCCAUCCAGAAGAGGACCAAUUUCCACUCCCUCAUUCCCUUGCCUACCAAACUAACCUUGAAAAACCCUAGACUCUGAAUUUUGGGGAAGAUUGGUUUGAGUAUUAACUCAGUGUCUACCAGGUCACAUGGCUGGCCGCAUGUAAAUAAAACUCUUUAUUGUAGUCCUAUGAUCUCAGUGAAUUGGUUUCCUCUGUGCAGUGGGCAGGAAGAACCUAUCAGCAGUUACAACUGGAUAUUAUAGCAUCGGCUUUUUGAAUUUUCAGCUUGCAGGUGGAAGAUUGCAGGGCUUCUCAGCCUCCAUAGUCACAUGAGAUAAUUCCUAUAACAAAACACACACACACACACACACACACACACUCUCUCUCUCUCUCUUUCUCUCUCUCUCUCUCUCUCAAUCUCUCAAUCUCUCAAUCUCUCAAUCUGUGUGAGUGUGUGUGUAUUUUUUUCCUAGUUCUAGUGCUCCUGGUGAAAUGGGCUAAUGCCUCUGUUGAUUUCAUCCUACCCACUGCCUCUUUCUGCUUUUCUUCCUGUGCUUAAUCCUGCCUCCUUCACUCCUCUACGGUCAAAAGUCCCUAAAGCACUCUUCAGUAAACUUUGCACUCUAAUCUCUAUAUUACAGUCUAUUUCACAAGGAAUUCAGCCUGUAACACUUGUGUAUGAAUAGAAUGACGAAAUAAUUUCAGAAAGAAUGAAUGCCUUCCAUAGGACUAAAUCUCCUUUUAUUCCAAAUUGAAAGAUGAGUUAUG
Molecule: long non-coding RNA, 1179 nt
Filed under: Papio anubis (olive baboon)
Lineage: Eukaryota; Metazoa; Chordata; Mammalia; Primates; Cercopithecidae
Description: lncRNA (ENSPANG00000042264.1)
Source: RNAcentral